UGGGGAAUAUUGCACAAUGGGGGAAACCCUGAUGCAGCGACGCCGCGUGAGCGAUGAAGGCUUUCGAGUCGUAAAGCUCUGUCCUAUGGGAAGAUAAUGACGGUACCAUAGAAGAAAGCCCCGGCUAAUUACGUGCCAGCAGCCGCGGUAAUACGUAAGGGGCGAGCGUUGUCCGGAAUUAUUGGGCGUAAAGAGUGCGUAGGCGGCAAAUUAAGUCAGAUGUGAAAACUAAGGGCUCAACCCAUAGAUUGCAUCUGAAACUGAUAUGCUUGAGUCAAGGAGAGGAAAGUGGAAUUCCUAGUGUAGCGGUGGAAUGCGUAGAUAUUAGGAGGAAUACCGAUGGCGAAGGCGGCUUUCUGGACUAGAACUGACGCUGAGGAACGAAAGCGUGGGGAGCAAACAGG
Molecule: ribosomal RNA, 404 nt
Filed under: Verrucomicrobiota bacterium
Lineage: Bacteria; Pseudomonadati; Verrucomicrobiota
Description: Verrucomicrobia bacterium partial 16S ribosomal RNA
Rfam family: Bacterial small subunit ribosomal RNA
Source: RNAcentral